Non-coding RNA from Podarcis lilfordi (Lilford's wall lizard), 5365 nucleotides. The record is from the annotation of a GenBank genome assembly. NCBI's taxonomy places the organism in Eukaryota, Metazoa, Chordata, Lepidosauria, Squamata, Lacertidae.
AAUCAUGCAGAGAUUCUGCUCUACCUAAUAUUUGUCUUUCUGUUCUCCAGGAGCAUGAGGCAGAUCGCCCCCACCUUGCUGUCCUCUCUAAGCAGUGUCAACUCUAGUUUUAGACUCUAAUUUGCAGUAUACACUUAAAACAGUAUCAAACCACUUUAAGCAGCCAAAGUUUCAUCCAAAGAUUCCUGGGAACUAUAGUUUGUUAAGGGUUGUAACAAGACCCCCUAUUCCUCCUCACAGACACUUUACAAACUAGAAUUCCCAGGAUUUAGUUAGGGUUCCUGCGUUGCAGGGGUUGGACUAAAUGGCCUUUGGGGUUCCUUGUAAUUCUGUGAUUCUUGGACGAAAGCCAUUAUUGUUUAAAGUUGAAUUUAUUUUAAACAUAUGGGGGCCUCAUCUGCGGUCUCCCUGUGGGUCUAGUCUGUACAAUCAUCCAGAUGGGGAGUGCAGGGCAAGUGAAGGAACCUGUUCUGUUUCCCCAUUUUUGUCAUUGCUUGCAUUUUCAGAAAGGUGAACAGGCAAAAACAACAAGAAGGAGCAACUACAGGGUCAGGAGAUUCUGGAGGUUGUCAGAGAGUCUCCUGCAGGUGUGUGUGGGUCUUGGCAGAUGCCCAACAAUGCUACCCCUAAUGUAUCCAAGGAAACCACACUCAAGUAUUGCUAAUCACCUCUUGAAUCAAGUGUUUUUAAGCCAAUGAAAUCAAUUGUAGGGCCACAAUAGACAUGAUUACUUUGUUAGCUCUGAGGUGCUUGAUUUUAGUAAGUAAAUAAAGGGGGAAGGGGCUGAGCCAGAUUGGCAUGGAACAUGGCACAGGGGGAAAGGGGGUCUCCAUAGUCCAAACUGUAAACAGUUAUCCUUUUGCCUGCUCUUCAGACUAUACAUUUGGUUUUGGUUUUUAGACCCUGUGCUGCUUUAGGUGCCUUUGGGUGUGGUGAAUGAACUUGAACAUUAUAUAGACAUUUAAAUAAAGACAUUUUCACCACAGGCUUCCCUAGAAAUAUACAGUAGCUGUUCUUUUUAUUAAAUUUUACUCGUUUUGAAUGAUACCAUCAUAUAUUUGAAUGAUACCAUCAUAUAUUUUAAAGAGGACUUCAGGGCAGAAUACAAGUCUCCUGAGAAAGCCUGAGGCGUAGUAUAUCUGUUUUUAAACACAAGUCAACUUCUCCCUCGGUUUAUAUGUAAGAUAGCAACACCUAUCUUGCUUACAUUAGGUAAGCAGAUGCCAACCAGUGGGGACAUUUGGAAUUUUGAGAAAGUGUCAUGGGCACCAGUCACAAAAUGGCUUCUGUGAGGGUUUGUGGCAUAACACAAAAUGGCAACUGUGUGGCUGUGGCAUGGCACAGCACAGCACAAAAUGGCUGCCACAUCUUAAAGAGCAGAAAAGGAGAUAGAAACAGAAAAUGGUGAAGUCAUGACCCCCUUCAGUGAGGAAAAAUCCACCUACAUCAGUCACCACCACACUUGCUCACAGAAAAAACCUCUAUACAGUACUCCUCUGUGCAGAAGGGAGGCAGGUGUCCAAUCCUAAUAUCCAAUGAAGUAUAGGUACAUUUAAGGGGAUGUAUUCAGUGUGGAAGAGGCCACUGAACCAAAAGAGCAAACUGUUUCUUGUAUAGUGUGGAUUUGUCAGGGUAUAUUAUUUACUGAGAACUUUUUUUUGGUGCCGUAGGAGGUACUGACAGGCACACUGGCACCCAUAGGCACCAAGUUGGCAACUCCUGCAUUAGUUCAUAAGUUCAUAACAUGUUUCAGCUUUAGAAAACUAGAAUUACGAAAUCUCACAAUAGUUUACUGGUUAUGUCACUCUCCCCACUUUCUUUUACUGAAAAUUACAUCAGUGCGAUUACUAAAUGCAAUCCUAUGAAUCCUUACCCAGAAGUAAGUUCCACUGAGUUCAAUGAAGGUUUUGUCCCCAAGUCAAUGUGCAUAAAAUUGCAGCCUUGGGCAAAUGUGUGCAAUGUGCAACAGGAUAGCAAGAUAACAGAGAAUUGGGGGUGCAACUUAGGCUACUAUUCAGUUUCUGGGGUUAAAGUUUGUAUUGGGUCACAAUUCCAACAAUGGAGGCUGAAUUAAUGCUCGUGCAUAGCAAUAGCAAUUAAAGGGUCUCCCUCGUUUCAAUAUUGCCCCUAAGGACAUUUGUGCUUCUAACACUCCAAAUAACAAGCUGGCUGAAAAGGCUGGACACUCCCAGUAAAUUACACAGGGCAGCACACACAUUCUUCCCCUGGCCUGGAGCCCGGCUACUUGCUCGGACAAGCCAGGCCAGAGAUGCUAAUCAGUGUUUUGCUAGGAAACCUUCUGCUUCCCCAAAAGUAAAGUGGAACUAGCACACUCUUUAAAUGGCUGGACAGGCCCAGAAGGGCUGUGACAUCCUGUUUCUUUUCCUGUUCGUAUCUGUCUAUGAUUGCAUGUCUGUAUCCAAAGCAUAAUUAAAGAUUAUGGAGACCCUAAGCUGAACAAUAUUUAAUCAAUGAAUCAAUGAUAUGUUUUUCCUACAUAUAUUUUUAAGAACCUAUGAAAUUUCUCCAUAACUUGGGAAUGAGGCCCUUGAUUUGUCAUUGUGUUGUUAUAAGAAUUUUAAGGUCUCAAAUAUAGAAUAAAUAUUCAUAAAUGCACACAUAUCUAAAUAUAUGAACCAUGUGUCUUAAAUAGUAUGGGAGAGCAAUCCUGAAGCCAUUUUGAGUCUCCCAAUGACCUCUGCAAUAAGGGAGGCAAAUGGGGAAAGCCUUCUUAUUGUCUUUUUUGCUUGCAGUUCCUGUCUUAAGGGCAUAUUUGUGCACGAAUAGGGUGAGCCUGUGACCUGGCCUCAGGAACUAAAGUACAGUAUUAACCAUCACAAAAGAAUGGCCAGACUGCCCAGAUAAUGCAAUCAGUAUCCCGGCAGACAGGAUUUCUGCUGUAGACCGCCUCCUUCUGUAUUAUGUAUGAUAGGGGUUGGGGGGUGGGUCUUGGGCUACAGGGUGGGCAAUUUCCAAAGUCUAUAUAAGGGCUUGCGCAUCAUUGUUCAGGGUUCUCCUCCCUCCUGUGUGUGGUGAGUGGGGACCCAGUUCCUUUAAUAACGAUCAGGCUUACUAGCCACUUUGCUUCUCAAUAUACUCUGGUUGGCCUCUGUUACUUUCUCCUACCAAUAGGGAAGCCACUUAAGGAUCCUAUACAGGCACUGGAAUACCCCAUAAGGGAAAGGGAGCAUUUUUUUCUUAUAACAGUGUGAUAAGAAGGGAAAGGAGGGUAUGAUGCAAGCUACAGGACUUAGAGAAGUGUUGGGCAUUGGCAGAGGAAGGCGGGUGCAGGGAGUGCAGUGUGCACCGGGUGUCAGCUGUGAGGGUGGGUGACAUUGGCGUGCCACCCACCCCACCCCCGCUCGCUGUGCAGGCAGCGCCCCCAGGGCGUGGGCCGUGGGCCAGUAGGGACAAUGCUGCCGUGGGCAGCUAGCAGCCUCCCCGGCGCUUGCCGCACGGGCAGCAAGCAGCUAGGGGUGCUCGCCAUGCAGGCAGCUAGCCCUGUCCCCACGGGCCAGCUAGCCCUGCCCCCUCACCGCUCCGGGUGCCGGGGCAGGUAGCUCCGCCCCUGGUGUUGGGUUCUCAGAUGAUAUUAGACUGUAACUCUCAUCAUUCCUGACCAUUAACUCAACUGCCUGAGGAUGAUGGUGUUGGCCACUUACAGUUUAGUAGCGCUGCAGAGAGCUUGCUGGGGAGACCAUGCAUAACAAGGAACUCAAAAAUAACUUUAACAAGGUUUUAAUAACAAAACAAAAACUCCUUUUACACUAAAGAUAACAACAACAAACCAGACCCAACCACCAACCCAUCCCCCAGGAUAAUGAGAGAGCUAGGUGCUGCUCCUUAUAUACUAUGCCCAAAUGCUGACACAGCUUAAUUAACACAACCUAGCAGCACCUGCUAUGUUUCACAGCUGCAAGACUGGGUCUCGUUAUUUGCCCUGGCCCUUAAAGACAAACACAACUUGUGAAACAAUAAUGAACCUUCACAUUUUACAGUGACCAUUCAACAGAUGGGAGUUGUAGUCCAGUGACAUUUGGGGACCAUAGGUUAAAGAACACCACUGUAGAGCAAAUGAUUGAUGAUGGUUCAGUCUUCACACCCCACAUGUCAUGCACACAAAAUAUUGACCAUACUUUUCCGCCCUGAGCUGCAACAGCUCUAACUUAUUAAAUCUAAUCUUAUUCUCUCUAUUUUUUUAUGCAGAACCCUUAUUUAAUGUGCCCCCACCUCUGCUUCACCUUUGUCAAGACAGUCGCUGCUUGGACUGCAACGUGCCACCAUCCUCCUUGCCUGUUCUAGUGUGAGCAGCUGCUGCUGGUUAACAUGGUUAUCUAUCAUGGAGGCCCCAUAUAAGUAUUCCUGGACCAAUGCCUGAUUUAUAUUGUUUCCAGUUCUUUGGCUUUAAAUCUCAUGUUUCCAUCAUUUUACCGUUACAGAAAGAGCCAUUUUUAAAUUGGUCCCUGUUUUAACUGGAGUUGUUUAAAUACAACGGACUACUUCCCUGAAAUAAGCCAUGUUUCCUAAAUGCUGCUCUGGUUCUCUUCUCCUCCCAGCACAGUAGCAUUGCCACGACACCCAUUGCCCAUCCUACAGUAGUACUUUAAUAGUGCAUCACUGUGGGGUAGGAGCAUGUGAGUGCUCUCUCUACAGGAAUCCCAAUUUUUGCAAAGAUUCUGCAAUAGCAGCAAAAUGACCUUUCUUGGGACAAAACUGCAUAAAUAAGCUCUCCCGCUGACACAAUUCUCGGCUCACUCCAAUUUUGCAAGGCGAUUAUUUGGAGUUACAACAGAGCAAGGAAAUUCGAAGGCUCUAAACCCUGUGUGGCUCUUCAUUUGGCAACCUUGGACAUAUCCCCAUACCAGUGCUUUUCCCCCCUUAAAAAAUAUGUUUUGGGGUACUCUCAUUUUCCUACUCAUAUUGAAAUACUGCCCCUCAGUGAGGCCAAACUUAGAUUAACAACAUAUUUAGGGGUAUGUAUACCCCUGCGUCCCCCCAGAAAAAAAGCACCGCCCCUAAGCAAGGUUCUUGGUCCCUGAUCUUCUGGACAACUUAAUAUACACGAUAUGCCAUUACAGUGGUACCUCAGUUUACAUACGCUUCAGGUUAGAGACUCCGCUAACCCAGAAAUAGUACCUCAGGUUAAGAACUUUGCUUCAGAAUGAGAACAGAAAUUGUGCUCUGGCGGCACGGCAGCAGCAAGAGGCCCCAUUAGCUAAAGUGGUUCUUCAGGUUAAGAACAGUUUCAGGUUAAGAACGGACCUCCAGAAUGAAUUUAGUACUUAACCCGAGGUACCACUAUAUUAACUUAUGAGCUGUUCAUUAAGAAAGUGUGUAUCUAUAGCACUGUAUGCUUUUCCAGACC